Molecule: long non-coding RNA, 833 nt
Filed under: Vulpes vulpes (red fox)
Lineage: Eukaryota; Metazoa; Chordata; Mammalia; Carnivora; Canidae
Description: lncRNA (ENSVVUG00000020754.1)
Source: RNAcentral
AUGGCUUCAAGAAGUUUGUUUUGCCUUUUACUUUCCCGGUGUCUUCUCUUCCUCCAAAGCCAGAUCCACGAUGUGGCAUUCCUGUUCCACCUGGCUCUUCUGCGCUCCCAAGGACCCACUCCCAGAGCCUGCGGAAGCACAAGAUUGAACUGCUGCUGUUUGUCGGAAGGAGGCAGAGAAGAACUAGGCAUAUCUCCACAGGGAAAGAGUAGGCACUGGGUAAGGACCUGCUGUGUCUUGGGCUCAGCUCUGAGGGCAACCCUAGUUGAACUGUAUUCUGACUGGAAGAGAUACACAAGCUCCUCUUCACACUUUACCUGCUCCCCCACCAUGCUGAUGCAAAUCAGGAGCGGUCAACAAAGACUCCCAAGGGUUCCCCUUUGGGCCACCCUGCCCAGGGUCUGGGAUUAGAAUUAGAAGUCCCAGCAAAGUUGUUCCUGUCUUCUGACAACUCAAAAGAGCUACUGCCACAUCUUGCCAAUGUAACUUUGCUUUUUCUGCAGGGAUUGAAUCAUUCUUAGAGUAUUUUGCUGUUUUGCAGAGUCUACUAAAUAUAAAACCAUAUCAGAAUGAAACUGUGUAUCUAUAUCUACAUAUGGAGAUACAAGUGUAGAUAGAUACAUAGAUGUAUGUUAUAUAUUAUUAGUUAUUAUUCCUAAUAAUUCAAAAUUAUUAACUACUAUCNAAUGUGUGUUAUAUAUUAUUAGUUAUUAUUCCUAAUAAUUCAAAAUUAUUAACUACUAUCUAUAAUAGAGAGAUAUAGUUAUACACUAUAUAACCUAUAUAUCUAUGUAACAAUAUAUAGAUACAGAGAGACGAAUAUAUAGAAAUAG